Triticum urartu is the source of this 1387-nucleotide long non-coding RNA. RefSeq lists it as uncharacterized. The record is from RefSeq and is a predicted model, not a curated record. Lineage: Eukaryota; Viridiplantae; Streptophyta; Magnoliopsida; Poales; Poaceae.
AUUAUCCAACCUCCCAAUUCCUUGCGCGCUACCAUUCCCGCACACCGCACGGUGGCAACCUCAUCCUCAAGCGCCGCCCUCCGCCGCUAGCUCCGCUCGCCGACGACUCCCUUUUUUCUCCAUCAACAAGGUCACCAGUUGGAGCCUCGUCGGCGCCCGUCGUCCUCACCGUCACAAAGCGGUGCUCCUCCCGACUCCGUCCUCACCGUCCCGAGGCCGCAUCCGAGCCGAUCUCAUCCUUCACACGAAGCUGCGUCGUUUGUCCAUCGGUACACCACCCAGCAAGCAGCUCUCGCCUCCAUCUAGCAUCUUCAGCCUCCACCACGUCAAGCAGGUUGAUCUCAAUGAAAGAGUUAUUGGUAGUGACUUCCCAAAUGAAUCACAUAAGAAGCUGAAGAAUAUGCUCCAUUGAAUGCUAUGCAGGUGAUGUAAUAGUUUCUUCACUAAUAAAUAUUCUACUUAAUUCUCAUACUUAAACAAUUGUUCAUCAUAAGUUGUAGGAACUACAUCCUAGCGAUUGUGCGGGAACCAAAGAGUGUUACACCGGUUUAUCGUUACCACAAGAAAAAAUGGUUGCUAAGAAAGCACACAUCAAAAAGUGUGAUAGGGCCAAUGAAGGAAGUGUAGAAUCAACUUUUCCAGACAAGCAGAUCACUAUCCAGGAAUUGCAUCCUAGUUUUUCUAUGAGAACCAAAGAGGAUUACACUGGUUUAUCUUUACCACACAUGGUUGCUAAGAAGGCACGCAUUGAAAAGUUUGAUAAGGACAAUCAAGGCCGCGCAUAAUCAACCAAAGAGGGUUACGCCAAUCAAGGAAGUACAGAAUUUACUUUGCCAGAUAAGCAGAUUACUGCCCAGGAAUUACAUCCUAGCUUUUCUUCGAGAACUAAAGAGGAUUACACUGGUUCAUCUUUACCACACAUGGUUGCUAAGAAAACACACAAUGAAAAAAUUGAUCAUAGGGUCAAUCAAGGAUGUGCAGAAUCAACUUUGCCGGACAAGACUAACCAGGAAUUGCAUCCUAGCAAUUGCGCAAGAACCAAAGAGGGUUGCACCAGUUUAUCUUCACCACAUGAACACACAGUUGCUAAGAAAGCACAUGAUGGUCCUGAAGCAAAUAAUGGCCAUGCUGAAUAUAACAAUGCCACCAAGCAAGGUGGUCCUGAACCAACAGAACACAAAUUAACGACUCCUACACAACCUCAAAACAAGCCACCAAACACUGGGUAGCUCAAGAUUUACAAAAGGAGUGCAUUGCAGGAGCCAGGAGCAACUAUAGAGGAAUUAGUCUUUAGAUAGACAAAUAUUAUGUAUUAUAUAAAGAUUUUAGCCCUCAGGGGCCUUGUUCCCUCUGCUCCCGGAGUCCGGAAGGUCGCCUUGAGGCGCCU